RNAcentral lists this ribosomal RNA (497 nucleotides) under uncultured bacterium. Its description in RNAcentral is "partial 16S ribosomal RNA". It matches the Rfam family "Bacterial small subunit ribosomal RNA", at positions 28 to 507 of the family's 1533-position model. The record is from RNAcentral.
GAUGAACGCUGGCGGCGUGCCUAAUACAUGCAAGUCGAGCGAACAGACGAGGAGCUUGCUCCUCUGACGUUAGCGGCGGACGGGUGAGUAACACGUGGAUAACCUACCUAUAAGACUGGGAUAACUUCGGGAAACCGGAGCUAAUACCGGAUAAUAUAUUGAACCGCAUGGUUCAAUAGUGAAAGACGGUUUUGCUGCCACUUAUAGAUGGAUCCGCGCCGCAUUAGCUAGUUGGUAAGGUAACGGCUUACCAAGGCAACGAUGCGUAGCCGACCUGAGAGGGUGAUCGGCCACACUGGAACUGAGACACGGUCCAGACUCCUACGGGAGGCAGCAGUAGGGAAUCUUCCGCAAUGGGCGAAAGCCUGACGGAGCAACGCCGCGCGAGUGAUGAAGGUCUUCGGAUCGUAAAACUCUGUUAUUAGGGAAGAACAAAUGUGUAAGUAACUAUGCACGUCUUGACGGUACCUAAUCAGAAAGCCACGGCUAACUACGUG